RNAcentral lists this ribosomal RNA (1689 nucleotides) under Indoplanorbis exustus. RNAcentral's name for it is "SSU rRNA". It matches the Rfam family "Eukaryotic small subunit ribosomal RNA". Lineage: Eukaryota; Metazoa; Mollusca; Gastropoda; Planorbidae. The record is from RNAcentral.
UGCAUGUCUAAGUUCACACUGUAGCACGGUGAAACCGCGAAUGGCUCAUUAAAUCAGUCGAGGUUUACUAGAUGAAAAGUAUCCUACUUGGAUAACUGUGGCAAUUCUAGAGCUAAUACAUGCAACCAAGCUCCGACCCUCGCGGAAAGAGCGCUUUUAUUAGUUCAAAACCAAUCGUCGUACCCUUCGCGGGGUGCGGCGUCCCGAUUGGUGACUCUGGAUAACUUUGUGCUGAUCGCAUGGCCUUUGCGCCGGCGACGCAUCUUUCAAAUGUCUGCCCUAUCAAAUGUCGAUGGUACGUGAUAUGCCUACCAUGUUUGUAACGGGUAACGGGGAAUCAGGGUUCGAUUCCGGAGAGGGAGCAUGAGAAAGGGCUACCACAUCCAAGGAAGGCAGCAGGCGCGCAACUUACCCACUCCCGGCACGGGGAGGUAGUGACGAAAAAUAACAAUACGGGACUCUUUCGAGGCCCCGUAAUUGGAAUGAGUACACUUUAAACCCUUUAACGAGGAUCAAUUGGAGGGCAAGUCUGGUGCCAGCAGCCGCGGUAAUUCCAGCUCCAAUAGCGUAUAUUAAAGUUGUUGCAGUUAAAAAGCUCGUAGUUGGAUCUCAGGCGCAGGCGGGCGGUCCGGCUCGCGCCGGCUCACUGCCCGUUGUCUCCUGCCCUACCCGUCUGCCGGCUCUCUCCCGCGGGUGCUCUUCGCUGAGCGUCCCGGGUGGCCGGCGCGUUUACUUUGAAAAAAUUAGAGUGUUCAAAGCAGGCCGAGCUGCCUGAAUAAUGGUGCAUGGAAUAAUGGAAUAGGACCUCGGUUCUAUUUUGUUGGUUUUCGGAACUGGAGGUAAUGAUUAACAGGGACAAACGGGGGCAUUCGUAUUGCGGCGUUAGAGGUGAAAUUCUUGGAUCGCCGCAAGACGAACUACUGCGAAAGCAUUUGUCAAGAAUGUUUUCAUUAGUCAAGAACGAAAGUCAGAGGCGCGAAGACGAUCAGAUACCGUCGUAGUUCUGACCAUAAACUAUGCCACCUGGCCAUCCGCAGGAGUUGCUUCGAUGACUCUGCGGGCGGCCUCCGGGAAACCAAAGGUUUUGGGUUCCGGGGGAAGUAUGGUUGCAAAGCUGAAACUUAAAGGAAUUGACGGAAGGGCACCACCAGGAGUGGAGCCUGCGGCUUAAUUUGACUCAACACGGGAAAACUCACCCGGUCCGGACACUGUAAGGAUUGACAGAUUGAUAGCUCUUUCUUGAUUCGGUGGGUGGUGGUGCAUGGCCGUUCUUAGUUGGUGGAGCGAUUUGUCUGGUUAAUUCCGAUAAGCAACGAGACUCUAGCCUAUUAAAUAGUUCGCCGGUUCCUUGAUGCGCCGGCGACAACUUCUUAGAGGGACGAGUGGCGUUUAGCCACACGAAAUUGAGCAAUAACAGGUCUGUGAUGCCCUUAGAUGUCCGGGGCCGCACGCGCGCUACACUGAAGGAAUCAGCGUGGAUACCUCCCUGGCCCGAAAGGGUUGGGAAACCCGUUGAAUCUCCUUCGUGCUAGGGAUUGGGGCUUGUAAUUCUUCCCCAUGAACGAGGAAUUCCCAGUAAGCGCGAGUCAUAAGCUCGCGUUGAUUACGUCCCUGCCCUUUGUACACACCGCCCGUCGCUACUAUCGAUUGAGCGGUUCAGUGAGGGCCUCGGAUUGGUCUCGGUCUGGC